GACAUCCUGAUGCGUGGUCUUCAAUGUUGGACAAAAGAUCUACUUUUCCUUUUUGUCUGUGACAGAUAUCUCAGUCAACAUCACCUGUUUCUGUACCUUCUUCCAUUUAUGAUGCUCAAGUGUUAUCGUUGGGUAAUGGACAACAGGAACACAAGAAGGUGGACAGAUGGCUCCUAG
RNAcentral lists this long non-coding RNA (177 nucleotides) under Fukomys damarensis (Damara mole-rat). RNAcentral describes it as "lncRNA (ENSFDAG00000025216.1)". Lineage: Eukaryota; Metazoa; Chordata; Mammalia; Rodentia; Bathyergidae. The record is from RNAcentral.